Molecule: ribosomal RNA, 966 nt
Filed under: Triticum aestivum (bread wheat)
Lineage: Eukaryota; Viridiplantae; Streptophyta; Magnoliopsida; Poales; Poaceae
Description: partial small subunit ribosomal RNA
Source: RNAcentral
AUGGCAGCCAGCAACGGCGGCGCGCUCCCCGUGGUGGAUCUGGCACCGUUCUUCGCCAGGGACGGCGCCGACGACGCGGGCGCGCGCGCCCGGGCCACCGAGGCCGUGCGCGAGGCGUGCCAGGCCACCGGGUUCUUCCGCGCGGUGAACCACGGCGUGCCGCGGGAGCUCAUGGCGCGCGUGCUCGAGCUGUCGGCGGCGUUCUUCGCGCUGCCGGACGAGGAGAAGGCCAAGGUGCGGCCCGCCGAGGGCGCCUCCGCCGCGCCGCUCCCGGUGGGGUACGCGCGGCGCACUCCGACGACAAGAACGAGUACCUGCUCCUCUUCAACCCCAACCUCGGGCUCAACCACUACCCCGCCCAGCCGACCGGAUUCAGAUGCGCUGGAGGAGUGCUACGCGAAGCUCGCCGAGCUGGGGCUGCUCGUCCAGGACAUCCUGAGCGAGUGCAUGGGCCUGCCACGAGGCUUCCUCGCUGAGUACAACGCCGACCGCGGCUUCGACUUCCUCACCGCGCUUCGCUACUUCCCGGCGACAUCCUCCGACGAGAACAACGGCAUCAGCGCGCACGAGGACGGCAACUGCAUCACCUUCGUCCUGCAGGACGGCGUCGGGGGGCUGGAGGUGCUCGGGGCAGACGGCCGCUGGGUCCCCGCGGAGCCCGUGGAGGGCAGCAUCGUGGUCAACGUGGGCGACGUCCUGCAGGUGCUGAGCAACAAGAAGUUCAAGAGCGCCACGCAUAGGGUGGUGAGAAGGCCGGGGGCGCACCGCCACUCGAUCGCCUUCUUCCUCAACCUCCACGGCGACAAGUGGGUCGAGCCGCUGCCGGAGUUCGCGGGCCACGCCAGCGAGCCGCCGCGGUACAGAGGGUUCCGAUACAACGAGUACAUGCAGCUGCGGAUGAGGAACAAGACCCACCCGCCGGCCAGGCCCGAGGACGUCGUCCACAUCACCCAUUACGAGAUCUAG